CUCCGCCCCAGGCAGCACCAACCUGGGGUGCGAGACCAGCCUGCGGUGCUGGGCUUCCAGGAGCUGCUGCUGCAGGAGGUAUUGCUGGUGCAGGGCCUGAGGAAAGAAAUGCCUGAAGAAGAGUUAAAAGCGCACUGCGGUUGAGGGAUUUUGCCUCUGGUGUGGAGGGCAAAGGGCAGACCGAAGCUGCUUGGCUCAAUGUGUCUUAUGCUAGUCUAUUCAGCCUUGUAUAUUACGUGCAUGUCACUGAUCAAUUUUUAAAAAUAAAUCUUUGCAAAAAGAAA
This is a long non-coding RNA of Homo sapiens (human), 284 nucleotides long. RefSeq lists it as uncharacterized. NCBI's taxonomy places the organism in Eukaryota, Metazoa, Chordata, Mammalia, Primates, Hominidae. The record is from RefSeq and is a predicted model, not a curated record. The transcript has 2 exons.